RNAcentral lists this transfer RNA (73 nucleotides) under Gloeophyllum trabeum ATCC 11539. RNAcentral's name for it is "tRNA-Arg (CCG) (tRNA-Arg-CCG-1-1)". It matches the Rfam family "tRNA". From Rfam's summary of the family: Transfer RNA (tRNA) molecules are approximately 80 nucleotides in length. Their secondary structure includes four short double-helical elements and three loops (D, anti-codon, and T loops). Lineage: Eukaryota; Fungi; Basidiomycota; Agaricomycetes; Gloeophyllales; Gloeophyllaceae. The record is from RNAcentral.
GGCGGACUAGCGUAAUGGUUAACGCGCCAGUUUCCGGAGCUGGAGAUUCUGGGUUCGAUCCCCAGGCCCGUCG